Orussus abietinus is the source of this 193-nucleotide long non-coding RNA. RefSeq lists it as uncharacterized. NCBI's taxonomy places the organism in Eukaryota, Metazoa, Arthropoda, Insecta, Hymenoptera, Orussidae. The transcript has 2 exons. The record is from RefSeq and is a predicted model, not a curated record.
UAACCGAGUUUGAGGAGCCGCGAAAAAGCUCUCCCAGCAAAGCCGAAGAGUGCAGCUCCGGUCAGGCGCGAAGACGAGGAAACGCGACGAGACGCGAAGCUUCGCGCCAUACAACCCUGUCCAUGGGGACUGCUUUUACACGGAAGAAGGUACAGCGGGCCCCAAAAGAAAGGGAAAAAAAAUUUGAAAAGGA